RNAcentral lists this ribosomal RNA (486 nucleotides) under uncultured bacterium. Its description in RNAcentral is "partial 16S ribosomal RNA". It matches the Rfam family "Bacterial small subunit ribosomal RNA", at positions 30 to 507 of the family's 1533-position model. The record is from RNAcentral.
AUUGAACGCUGGCGGCAUGCCUUACACAUGCAAGUCGAACGGCAGCACGGGUGCUUGCACCUGGUGGCGAGUGGCGAACGGGUGAGUAAUACAUCGGAACAUGUCCUGUAGUGGGGGAUAGCCCGGCGAAAGCCGGAUUAAUACCGCAUACGAUCUACGGAUGAAAGCGGGGGACCUUCGGGCCUCGCGCUAUAGGGUUGGCCGAUGGCUGAUUAGCUGGUUGGUGGGGUAAAGGCCUACCAAGGCGACGAUCAGUAGCUGGUCUGAGAGGACGACCAGCCACACUGGGACUGAGACACGGCCCAGACUCCUACGGGAGGCAGCAGUGGGGAAUUUUGGACAAAGGGCGAAAGCCUGAUCCAGCAAUGCCGCGUGUGUGAAGAAGGCCUUCGGGUUGUAAAGCACUUUUGUCCGGAAAGAAAUCCUUGGCCCUAAUACGGUCGGGGGAUGACGGUACCGGAAGAAUAAGCACCGGCUAACUACGUG